UUAUGAUAGAACUCGUUAAGUAACUCCGGGAUAAUAUUAUUUGAUCCCGAGGAGGUGAGUACUUCCAAGUUGCCUGUUUUCAAACCAGGAAAUAAUGGAGGGUACAGAGACACAAGUAAUUGCACGCUGAACUGUCUCUACGGGGUGAUUAGCUGCAGACACACAGACCAGACUUCAGCUGCCUGGGGAGAGUCCAAAGAUGGAAAAACACUUCCUCCUCAGGAUUUCUCCGAGAGGAACAAUCUGCUCGCCGGAGGGUACCGAGGAAGGUCGCUCGGAGCCAGGCCAGCCUCGGGUCUUCCUACUCCUGGAGCGGGGGGCUCGGGAGGCGGCGGGUCGGGCCCCGUACGGAUCCCCACGUCUCGGCUCCCCCACAACCACUGCCUGUUAACGUGGCGGCGGCCGGGUAAGGCCGCCAGGGACACGGUCGGGGCCGUCGCACCCAGAGACGCUCCAACACCGUCCGCGCCUCCAGCGCUCAGGCCCGCCGCCUCCCGGGAGCCCCUGCCCCGUGGCGCUGUUACCUUGGAUGCCGGUCUGGUGGGACAUGGCGGCGGCCGCAGGUUCCCGGCUCCGGCGCAGGGUGCGGCAGCGGCACCGGCCGGCGGAUCCAGGAAGUAGCGGCUCCGCCUGCGCGUCAUCUGCCCGCGACCCUCCGCCCCGCCUCCCAGCACCAGCCGCCUUCGCCGGCCGGGCACAGUCCCCGCCCACGUCCCCGCCUCCUGCCCUUUCACUGGCUACUCUCUGUUGUCGUCACAGUCCCCGCCCCGCCAGGCUUUAAUCACGCCUUCCCGUCACUGGCCCCACCCCUCGCUCCCCGCCCUCUGCUGCUGUGCUUAACAAGGCAGUAUCCUUUGGCGACUUGUUGAGUGUAUACACGUGUCUGCACAGCGAUCCCCACCAAAAAAUUCUUAGAGGAGAAAUAAGCUGUUUCCCCAAGCAUAUGUUUCCUAAGUAAAAGACAUGCCCUUUGUUGUAAGGAAACGGCCCCUUUAAGGCGACAGAUAAAACAGCUUAGCACUAGCACAGCAUAAGUAAGAUGGGGUUCAAGACCACUUCAAGCCCAUCUUAAAAUAUGAGAGCAUAGAGUCCUUUAACAUUUCCCUCGUGAUUUAAAUGUAAAGCUAUUCACUUUUUAAUUGGCCACUCACACAAAACCACAGUUUUCACCUCAAAGAGAAAAUGGUAGUUUAUUUUUAAACAAAUUAUGUGGCUAUGGGUGUAUAUGAGUGUGUGUGUGUGUGUGUGUGUGUGUGUGUGUGUUUGCAUAAAUUCAGGUGCCCCCCAAAUUCCCUAGUAUCAUGUUCCAACUUGGUAACAGUUUUAUGAAUUCUUUUUUGCAGAAGCAGAACAAAAGAAAAUCAUAAGUCAAAGCAUCUUUAAAACAUGUAUUUGGUGGGGACAUGGGUUCAGAUAUUAGCUGAUGACAUUUUUAACUUUUAAGCUAAGUGGUUUGACCAUCUCAAAAGGAUUUCCCUAAUGGUUCCAAAGAUGGAUGUUAAUUAAGACAUCGAAGUGGUCAGUGAGUGGGAUGGUCCAAGAUAAUCUGGACCUACCACACCACAGUCCUACACAAUCAGGUCAUUCUGAAGAGUCAGACAACCUUUCAAGUCUUUAGCAGGUGUUGGGUGGCUUUUUUCUUCCUGGGAAUUUCAGUUCACAGCACCUUAAGAGAUCUCAUUGUCCUUUAUGCGGUUCCUCAGAAAAUCAUCAAUAGAACUUUGCUUCAGGUUAGCCCUUUAUUGUUUCAAAUCAAAUGUGUAUUCAUACUUACCCGGAAUAAAUCUGUAUGGAAACAGCA
This is a long non-coding RNA of Mesocricetus auratus (golden hamster), 1801 nucleotides long. RefSeq lists it as uncharacterized. Lineage: Eukaryota; Metazoa; Chordata; Mammalia; Rodentia; Cricetidae. The transcript has 2 exons. The record is from RefSeq and is a predicted model, not a curated record.